GGUGACCGUCCUCCCGAAGGUUAAACUAACCACUUCUUUUGCAUCCCACUCCCAUGGUGUGACGGGCGGUGUGUACAAGGCCCGGGAACGUAUUCACCGUAGCAUUCUGAUCUACGAUUACUAGCGAUUCCGACUUCACGGAGUCGAGUUGCAGACUCCGAUCCGGACUACGACAAGCUUUGUGGGAUUCGCUAAACCUCGCGGUAUCGCUGCCCUCUGUACCUGCCAUUGUAGCACGUGUGUAGCCCAUCCCGUAAGGGCCAUGAUGACUUGAUAUCGUCCCCACCUUCCUCCGGUUUAUCACCGGCAGUCUCCUUAGAGUUCCCGACAUAACUCGCUGGCAAAUAAGGAUAGGGGUUGCGCUCGUUGCGGGACUUAACCCAACAUUUCACAACACGAGCUGACGACAGCCAUGCAGCACCUGUCACAGAGUUCCCGAAGGCACAAGUCUAUCUCUAGUCUCUUCUCUGGAUGUCAAGGGAUGGUAAGGUUCUUCGCGUUGCAUCGAAUUAAACCACAUGCUCCACCGCUUGUGCGGGCCCCCGUCAAUUCAUUUGAGUUUUAACCUUGCGGCCGUACUCCCCAGGCGGUCAACUUAGUGCGUUAGCUGCGCCACUCACGCCUCAAGGGCACAAACGGCUAGUUGACAUCGUUUACGGCGUGGACUACCAGGGUAUCUAAUCCUGUUCGCUCCCCACGCUUUCGUUCCUCAGCGUCAGUAUCUGUCCAGGUGGCCGCCUUCGCCACUGAUGUUCCUUCCAAUCUCUACGCAUUUCACCGCUACACUGGAAAUUCCACCACCCUCUACAGUACUCUAGUCGAACAGUUCAAAAUGCAGUUCCAAGGUUGAGCCCUGGGCUUUCACAUCUUGCUUAUUCAACCGCCUACGAACGCUUUACGCCCAGUAAUUCCGAUUAACGCUUGCACCCCUCGUAUUACCGCGGCUGCUGGCACGAAGUUAGCCGGUGCUUCUUCUGUUGUUAACGUCACAGAAUGCAGCUAUUAACUACACCCCUUUCCUCACAACUGAAAGUGCUUUACAACCCGAAGGCCUUCUUCACACACGCGGCAUGGCUGCAUCAGGCUUUCGCCCAUUGUGCAAUAUUCCCCACUGCUGCCUCCCGUAGGAGUCUGGGCCGUGUGUC
This 1145-nucleotide ribosomal RNA is filed under the name Colwellia sp. HaHa710. RNAcentral's name for it is "partial 16S ribosomal RNA". The record is from RNAcentral. Lineage: Bacteria; Pseudomonadati; Pseudomonadota; Gammaproteobacteria; Alteromonadales; Colwelliaceae.